UCGAGAGCGCUCUGCCAGCUCGCAGGCCAGGUAGGGGGACGGGACUGCCCUGUGUCCGGGCCAGCCGGAAAACCACCUAAGAGUUCAAGAGCAGCGCGUGUCUCGCCAGCGUGGCUUAAACAUUAGCGCGGAGGAAAAAAAAAUAAAAAAUUACCAUGUCAAAUAGGAGAUGCAACACAUCAACUCACAAAUUCAAGGAGUGGAAGGAGGCCCACUGUGGCUAAGGAGCAGAGGGCAGAAGUCAAUGGACUGAGCAGGGGAGGAUCUUGGGCAUUAAUAGAAGCAUCAUAUUCUGCCGGGAGCGAAAGCUAUCUACGGAAGCCAAAGCUAUCUAGUGAAGACAAAGGUAUCUACAGAAGCCAAAAUCAAUUAGUGAGCCAAGGUUAUCUACAGAAGCCAAAGUCAAAGCUAUCUAGUGGAGACAAAGGUAGUUACUGAAGCCAAAGCCAAGUAGAGAGCAAAGGUCAUUUAGUGGAGACCUAAAGCUAUGUAGUAAAAGAGUUAUCUAGACCCUAAAUCAUGGGUGAUAGAUUGUGAGGACAUCCUUUGUUAGAGCAUCUGUAAGAUAUCUUAAGAGAACAUCCUUAUGGUAUCUUGCAGGUACAAUAGUUAAUCCAUGAAAGCACUCUUCCUAUUUUCUGCAGCAGUAGAUUAACCUUCCCCCUUUCUUGCCUUCUCCCUAUAUAAGUUGGGUAAAAAUUUCUAAUAAACGGA
Molecule: long non-coding RNA, 714 nt
Organism: Psammomys obesus (fat sand rat)
Lineage: Eukaryota; Metazoa; Chordata; Mammalia; Rodentia; Muridae
Exons: 3
Source: RefSeq, a predicted model, not a curated record